Molecule: transfer RNA, 77 nt
Filed under: Lelliottia nimipressuralis
Lineage: Bacteria; Pseudomonadati; Pseudomonadota; Gammaproteobacteria; Enterobacterales; Enterobacteriaceae
Also listed under: 1 other name
Description: tRNA-Phe
Rfam family: tRNA
About the family: Transfer RNA (tRNA) molecules are approximately 80 nucleotides in length. Their secondary structure includes four short double-helical elements and three loops (D, anti-codon, and T loops).
Source: RNAcentral
GCCCGGAUAGCUCAGUCGGUAGAGCAGGGGAUUGAAAAUCCCCGUGUCCUUGGUUCGAAUUCCGAGUCCGGGCACCA